Molecule: unclassified non-coding RNA, 265 nt
Filed under: Hevea brasiliensis (rubber tree)
Lineage: Eukaryota; Viridiplantae; Streptophyta; Magnoliopsida; Malpighiales; Euphorbiaceae
Source: RNAcentral
GUGAUUUGUUUCAUGCAUUCCAGAAUGAGUUGUGCCGGAUGAAACUGGACCUGUCUGUACUUGAUGAGCUUGUUCGUGAGUAUUGCAUCUACAGAGGAAUCGUGGAUUCUGGUCGUGGAGCCCUCUCUGGGAUGCAGAAUGUCUCUAGUUCAUUGAAAGUUAAUCAAUCAGAGCUGGAGUAUUGUUCAUCAAGGAAUUGUUCUUUUGAAGUUGACUAUGCAACCAGUAAACUUUCGGAUGGUGAAAUUUCUGUCAGCAAUUCCCG